RNAcentral lists this ribosomal RNA (350 nucleotides) under uncultured bacterium. RNAcentral's name for it is "bacterial SSU rRNA". It matches the Rfam family "Bacterial small subunit ribosomal RNA", at positions 29 to 409 of the family's 1533-position model. The record is from RNAcentral.
AACGAACGCUGGCGGCAGGCUUAACACAUGCAAGUCGAGCGCGUAGCAAUACGAGCGGCAGACGGGUGAGUAACGCGUGGGAAUCUACCCAACCCUACGGAAUAACGCAUGGAAACGUGUGCUAAUACCGUAUACGCCCUUCGGGGAAAGAUUUAUCGGGGAUGGAUGAGCCCGCGUUGGAUUAGCUAGUUGGUGGGGUAAAGGCCUACCAAGGCGACGAUCCAUAGCUGGUCUGAGAGGAUGAUCAGCCACAUUGGGACUGAGACCACGGCCCAAACUCCUACGGGAGGCAGCAGUGGGGAAUAUUGGACAAUGGGCGCAAGCCUGAUCCAGCCAUGCGCGUGAGUGAU